Molecule: RNA transcript, 2647 nt
Organism: Daucus carota subsp. sativus
Lineage: Eukaryota; Viridiplantae; Streptophyta; Magnoliopsida; Apiales; Apiaceae
Gene name: U-box domain-containing protein 52
Exons: 9
Source: RefSeq, a predicted model, not a curated record
AAGGGAAAGUUGAAACCAUAUACAUUGUCUGAUUUUAGUCUAGGACCAUCUUUGUUUAAGCUUUUUAAUAAAAAAAUUUCUAGGUGAAUCAGGCGGUGGUCCUGUGAAGCUAGAGGUUGUGCUGCCGCAGAAAAUCUCGAGUUUUCGGGCGGUGCACAACCUUAGCAUCACUGCUGCCAUGGGUCACAGCUCCGGGGAUGGGACUACUUUUGUAAGCACUGCCAUUGCGGUCGAUAAAGACAAGAACAGCCCUCAUGCCGUUCGAUGGGCCGUGGAGAAUCUCGUGAAAAAGAACGCCAGUGUGUAUCUUGUUCAUGUCCGAAACAAUACAUCGCAACCUAAUGAUGCUGUCCCUAAAGAAGGCCGGGCACCGACAGAAUUUGAAAUGCAGCAAUUUUUCCUCCCAUAUCGUGGAUUUUGUGCUCGAAAAGGGGUUCGCGCAAUAGAGAUAAUUCUCCUCGAUGGUGAUGUUGCAAGUGCACUGGUAGACUUUGUUGUUAGAAACACCAUCAGCAAUCUUGUUGUUGGCCUUUCCAACCGAAGUGCUCUAACGAGGGCAUUUAGGAAUCCAGACGUCCCCACUAACUUGAGCAAAACCGCGCCAGACUUCUGCACAGUGCAAGCAAUAUCAAAAGGAAAAGUUCAGAAUAUUAAAACAGCUACUCGGACUGUUACACCUUCCAAUGCUGUUAGUUCUAAGGCAUCACAAUCAGGAUAUUCAUCAGACAGCUCAUUCAGCCAGUCAAGCUGGAGAAGUGGAUCAGAUCUAACAUCCUUCGACAUGAGCAGCCAGAGUAGUUUCCAGUCAGGCUCCACUGAGUAUGGUGUAAUGAAUCCGUUUGAAAGGCCCUCAGGUGGCAAAUCUCCAUACCCACCUUCCGUGAGCAAUCUUAACUACAUGGUUCGCACAAAGGGAAUGGGUAGUCCUCUCCAUCACAAUUUCUCAUCUGCCAGCAGCGAGUAUUCUGGGAUGUCAAGUUUCCAGUCAAAUAAUUAUUCCUUUGAGAAUUUAGACCGAUCUCAAUCACCAGGAAAUUCAAAUCCAAAUAGCUAUGCAUCCUCACGCAGAGAAGGAGAGCUAGAAGAUGAGAUGAUGAGAUUAAAACAGGAACUAAAGCACACAAUGGAAAUGUACAACUCAGCUUACAGUGAAAGUAUGAAUGCUAAUCAGAAGGUGAGAGAGCUUGAUCAGUGGAAGUCAACAGAAGAACAUAUGAUAGCACAACAGAGGCAAUCUGAAGAAGAUGCAUUAGCUAUUGUCGAGAUGGAGAAGCAAAAGUGCAGGGCAGCCAUGGAAGCAGCACAAAAGGCACAACGUCUGGCAGAGUUGGAGUCUGAGAAACGAAGAUGUGCAGAACGUUUGGCUAAGCACGAGGCAGAAGAAAUGAGAAAAGCAAUGGAUGCACUGAGUCGAAAUGGUGCCCGUUAUAGAACUUAUACCAUCGAAGAAAUUGAAAUGGCAACUAACAAGUUCUCUGUUACUGCAAAAAUUGGUGAAGGGGGAUAUGGACCUGUUUUUAGAGGCUAUCUGGAUCACACUCCUGUUGCCAUAAAGGUUUUGAGGCCGGAUAUUUCUCAGGGAAAAGAGCAGUUCCAAAAGGAGAUUGACGUGUUGAGCUGCAUGAGACAUCCACACAUGGUUCUUCUACUAGGAGCCUGCCCCGAGUAUGGAUGCCUUGUAUACGAAUACAUGGACAAUGGCAGCUUAGAAGACCGUCUAUUCAGAAAACACAACACUCCUUCCAUCCCUUGGGCAACCCGUUUCAAGAUUGCUUCAGAAAUAGCCACCGCCCUUCUUUUCCUUCAUCAAUCAAAACCAGAGCCCCUCGUGCAUCGUGAUCUAAAACCUGCCAACAUUCUCCUAGACAGAAAUUACGUAAGCAAGAUCAGUGAUGUUGGCUUAGCAAGGAUGGUUCCACCAAAUGUGGCUGACAGUGUUACCCAGUAUCACAUGACAGCCGCGGCUGGAACAUUCUGCUACAUUGAUCCAGAGUACCAACAAACUGGACUGUUAGGCACAAAAUCAGACACCUACUCAUUAGGGGUGAUGUUGUUGCAGCUUUUAACAGCAAAGCCUCCCAUGGGCAUAACAGGACAGGUCUCGAGGGCCAUUGAGAAAGGAAAUUUACUAGAAAUACUUGAUCCAACAGUGCCUGAUUGGCCUGUCGAAGCAGCUACAGCAUUUGCAAAGAUCUGUUUAAGAUGCUGUGAACUAAGGAGGAAGGACAGACCAGACCUUGCCACCGUCAUAUUGCCUGAACUGGAACGACUAGCAAAACUUGGCUGCGGUGAACAAGAUUUAUAGGUCAAGUCCCCAGUCUUCUACCAUAAGCUUUUGAGGAAGCUCAUAUAUAGUCAGGAUAAAGCAAUUCUGAUACAAUGUGGCUGUCUUGAUUCAAGCACACUGGAAACUCCGAGUGCAAUACUAUAGAAGUAGAUCCCUUUUUUCACCAGCUGGUGUAAAACUCAAACCUGUAAUGUUGUACUUAGAAUCCUGAUUCAAAUAUAAUGUUUUUCUCUCUCUUUGUCUUCUCAUGAAAUUUAAUAUGUCAAGACUCUCCUAUUACUGAAAAAGCUAUAACAAUUACAUAUACAAUAUACUUAAUGUAAGUGAUUCGGACCUGAAUGAGCUGCAUUGGUUAGCUUC